This 750-nucleotide long non-coding RNA is filed under the name Anser brachyrhynchus (Pink-footed goose). RNAcentral describes it as "lncRNA (ENSABRG00000006546.1)". Lineage: Eukaryota; Metazoa; Chordata; Aves; Anseriformes; Anatidae. The record is from RNAcentral.
AUUUUUAACUCUUAAUUUAUGCCACAAAUAUUCUGCAAUUCUUUCUGCAGAUUAGUAAUAGAUGUGGCUCAUCUCCCUUCUUGAGUACAUAGAAAAGGAAACUCUGAAUAGCUCUAAUUCUUCUCUAGGAAUUUUGGAAUUUAGUCAAAGGGCAGACCGCUGUGGAUGAAGGUUAUGGAACAGAUGAGCCAAGCCCUGCCAUUGUCCUUGUCCUUCUGCUGGACAUUCACACCAGGUUGGUUUUUGUUGCCUCAACAUAGUGGUCUUCAUCUCUCUUCAGUCAGUGUAUCUAUGCAGACACACAAUAUCUAUCCACCUGCCUUUGACCACACUGUUAUAUGUUUUGGAUUCUCAGUGGUUAACCCUACACCAGAAGAUCAUUAACUGCAGGUGUGAGAACCGGAGGCUGAAAACACAGGCUCAAAAGAACACACUGCACCUCAGUGCUGCUGGAGUAAUGCCUGCAGAGGCAAAGUUUAGCACAUGGGCUGUGGGAAAAGUUGCCAUGUGCAAGAACUUGGAGGAAACCUACCUCUUCCCUUGAUCCCACCGGCCUGCAGGGUCUGGCCCUGGCGUCUAGGGCUGUGGUCACAAUUUUGAAGUCUACCAGCACAAGAAAGCAACUUUUACCUCUGGAUCAAGGCUAGGCAACCAGAUGAAAGCAGUUCAGUUACUAAACCUGUUUUCACUUUCAAAACUGAUACAGCUGUGAAUCACCUCAAAAUGAAAUAAAGCUCUUCUGUUCUCACA